UCUUAGCUUGCUAAGGCCGAUGGCGACCGGCGCACGGGUGAGUAACACGUAUCCAACCUGCCGUCUACUCUUGGACAGCCUUCUGAAAGGAAGAUUAAUACAAGAUGGCAUCAUGAGUCCGCAUGUUCACAUGAUUAAAGGUAUUCCGGUAGACGAUGGGGAUGCGUUCCAUUAGAUAGUAGGCGGGGUAACGGCCCACCUAGUCUUCGAUGGAUAGGGGUUCUGAGAGGAAGGUCCCCCACAUUGGAACUGAGACACGGUCCAAACUCCUACGGGAGGCAGCAGUGAGGAAUAUUGGUCAAUGGGCGAGAGCCUGAACCAGCCAAGUAGCGUGAAGGAUGACUGCCCUAUGGGUUGUAAACUUCUUUUAUAAAGGAAUAAAGUCGGGUAUGGAUACCCGUUUGCAUGUACUUUAUGAAUAAGGAUCGGCUAACUCCGUGCCAGCAGCCGCGGUAAUACGGAGGAUCCGAGCGUUAUCCGGAUUUAUUGGGUUUAAAGGGAGCGUAGGCGGACGCUUAAGUCAGUUGUGAAAGUUUGCGGCUCAACCGUAAAAUUGCAGUUGAUACUGGGUGUCUUGAGUACAGUAGAGGCAGGCGGAAUUCGUGGUGUAGCGGUGAAAUGCUUAGAUAUCACGAAGAACUCCGAUUGCGAAGGCAGCC
This 659-nucleotide ribosomal RNA is filed under the name uncultured Bacteroidales bacterium. RNAcentral's name for it is "bacterial SSU rRNA". It matches the Rfam family "Bacterial small subunit ribosomal RNA", at positions 73 to 726 of the family's 1533-position model. Lineage: Bacteria; Pseudomonadati; Bacteroidota; Bacteroidia; Bacteroidales. The record is from RNAcentral.